CCCCCCCCCCGUGCCGGGGGAGGCGCCGCUGGAGGCCGAGGCGCUGGGGGGGGCCGGGGGGGGCCCCUUCGACCCGCGGCGGCUCCGGUUCUCGCAGGACGAGCUGCGGCCGCAGCCCAUCGGCAGGAAGGCGCGGAAGGUCCAUGUGCCCGAGGAGCAGAAGGACGAGCGCUACUGGAGCCGGCGCAGCCGCAAUAACGCGGCGGCGAAGCGCUCGCGGGACGCGCGGCGGCUCAAGGAGAACCAGCUCUCGGUGCGCGCCGCCUUCCUGGAGCGCGAGAACGCGGCGCUGCGCCACGACGUGGCGGCGGCGCGCAGGGAGCUCGCCCGCUUCCGCGCCCUCCUGGCGCGCUACGAGGCGCGGCACGGGCCCAUCUGAGAGCCGGGAUCCCGCGACGGCCGGAGCCGGGCACUGAGCUGGGAGAAGAUGCUGGGAACCGGGAUCCAGCUCCGGGAACCGGGAUCAGCCGGGAAAUGGGGCUGGAGCCUGGCACCGGGACCCAGCAAUGAGACACAGCCCCGGGACCCAGCCCCGGGAUCCGGCCCCAGGAUCCGGCCCCGGGAUCCUUCCCUGGAUCCCAUCUCCAGCCCUGAUCCAGAACCGGGAUCAGGAUCCAGCCAGACCCCCCUCCAUGGGGGGGGGGAUCCCCAAAACCGGACUGUUCCCCCCCACACACCAGGCAUGGACCCCCCCAUAGGGGACCAUCCACACCCCCUAUAGGGCCUCCCCCCAUUGGGGGGUGUUGUCCCCCCCCAUAUUUAUUCCCCAGCCCCAUGGCUGGUUCUAAGCACAAGGGGGGGGCCCCAAGCGCCGGGUGCCCCCCCCACCCCCUGCACCCCCCAGACCCCCCCAUAGGACCCCCCUCAAGUCCUCUCAGGAUGGUGGGGACCCCCGCCAGCCCUCCCCCCCAUUCCCCCCAGUGACCCAUUUCCAGUGCAGGCCAGUAGCGUCACUGGGGGGGACACACAUUGGGGGGGGGAUCCCCCUUGACUCCAGCCCCUCCCCCCCCAAACACCCAUGGGGGGGGUCCAGCCCCUCUCCCCCCGCACUUUGACCACUUUAUUCCCCACCCCCCCCCCGCAUGUGGGAUUUGGGGGUCGCGACCCCCCCCCCGAGGGGGGUGAUGGGGGGGGGGCUUUUGUAUAGAAUAAACUUGUGACCCUGGA
Long non-coding RNA from Strigops habroptila (Kakapo), 1167 nucleotides. RefSeq lists it as uncharacterized. The transcript has 3 exons. The record is from RefSeq and is a predicted model, not a curated record. NCBI's taxonomy places the organism in Eukaryota, Metazoa, Chordata, Aves, Psittaciformes, Psittacidae.